CCUACGGGUGGCAGCAGUGAGGAAUAUUGGUCAAUGGACGAGAGUCUGAACCAGCCAAGUAGCGUGAAGGAUGACUGCCCUAUGGGUUGUAAACUUCUUUUAUAAAGGAGUAAAACGAUGCACGUGUGCCUUUUUGCAUGUACUUUAUGAAUAAGGAUCGGCUAACUCCGUUCCAGCAGCCGCGGUAAUACGGAGGAUUCGAGCGUUAUCCGGAUUUAUUUGGUUUAAAGGGAGCCUAGAUGGGUUGUUAAGUCAGUUGGGAAAGUUUGCGGCGCAACCGUAAAAUUGCAGUUGAUACUGGCAGUCUUGAGUACAGUUGAGGUAGGCGGAAUGCGUGGUGUAGCGGUGAAAUGCUUAGAUAUCACGAAGAACCCCGAUUGCGAAGGCAGCUUACUAAACUGUGACUGACAUUGAUGCUCGAAAGUGUGGGUAUCAAACAGGAUUAGAUACCCCGGUAGUC
RNAcentral lists this ribosomal RNA (460 nucleotides) under uncultured bacterium. RNAcentral describes it as "partial 16S ribosomal RNA". It matches the Rfam family "Bacterial small subunit ribosomal RNA", at positions 338 to 795 of the family's 1533-position model. The record is from RNAcentral.